GUGUCAGCCGCCGCGGUAAUACGUAGGAGGCGAGCGUUAUCCGGAUUUACUGGGCGUAAAGAGGGCGUAGGCGGCUUUUCAAGUCGGAUGUAAAAUCUCCCGGCUUAACUGGGAGGGACCAUCCGAUACUGUUGGGCUAGAGGGCAGCAGGGGGAGGUGGAAUUCCCGGUGUAGUGGUGAAAUGCGUAGAUAUCGGGAGGAACACCAGUGGCGAAGGCGGCCUCCUAGGCUGUUUCUGACGCUGAGGCCCGAAAGUGUGGGUAGCGAACAGGAUUAGAUACCCUGGUAGUCCACACCGUAAACGAUGGACACUAGGUAUAGGGAGUAUCGACCCUCUCUGUGCCGAAGCUAACGCUUUAAGUGUCCCGCCUGGGGACUACGGCCGCAAGGCUAAAACUCAAAUGAAUUGACGGGG
Molecule: ribosomal RNA, 415 nt
Filed under: uncultured prokaryote
Description: bacterial SSU rRNA
Rfam family: Bacterial small subunit ribosomal RNA
Source: RNAcentral